Non-coding RNA from Manis javanica (Malayan pangolin), 2659 nucleotides. The record is from RefSeq and is a predicted model, not a curated record. NCBI's taxonomy places the organism in Eukaryota, Metazoa, Chordata, Mammalia, Pholidota, Manidae.
UCCUCUUGACUGCCAGGCUCAGGAGUUGCUGGGUGCUGGAUGCAGUGGGGGAUCAUUUAAGGGUUCUGCGCUCGAGGAGGGAUGAGUGCCAAGCUUCUAGGAUACAAGAAGCCCCUCUUCCCUGAACCCUCAUCACUACCACUUUCCACCAAAGAUCUUGAAAGGAACACAACACAGUAGGAAAUGGAAGCACUGGCCUCUUCUUCUGGUAAGUGAAGAAUGCAAGUUCUGCUGUUGAAUUGUUGUUGAGAUUUUCUGGAAGAGGUCGGUUGGUUUCCCAUGUGCAGCUGUACAUUUUGGAGCACACACAUUGACCUGAGAGUUAGGUUAUUAGAGGUUCCUUCCUCUGCUGGCGACUUGUUGAAUGAUCCCAGGAACACUUGCAUGCUGACAGCAGAGAAGGACCCUUUUAACUCUACAUUUCUGGGAAGCUGUAUUUACAUCGCUCUUCCUCCAGCUGCACACUGACACUCUUUACCUUUGCUUGUUUGCCCUGCAAAUCCUUGAGCUCCCCAAAGUGUGACAGUAAUUACCUGGGAGCACAUUAGCUGUGCUGACCUCCUGGAUUCGAAGGUGAAUUUUAGCAAGAUCCUCAAUGAUUCUCAUGCCCACUAAUGUUGGAGGUGUACAGCUCUAAGGCACUGAGACUGCUGAACCAAAGUUCCUCUCCCUUAAAACCUGAGAGUUCUGUUUGAUGUGGCACCACCUGACUGGCACACUAGAAACUCAGAUCCUUGAGCUUAAUGCCUCACUAAGAAGCAUGUGUGUGGUAGGGGAGAGGGCAGGUGGCAUCAGUGUCAAACGUACUAGGAAGCUAGUUCCUCCAGCUGGUACAGGCCCACAGCAGAAUUUUGGGCUUUGAUGCAUUAGGCAUCAAUCAACUCCCGUUGCACACAGAGGGACAUGUCCAAGAGGGUGGGAUUGUUCCACAGGCUAAACGAGGAAAGAAAAAUGGGAAAGCUGCUCUUUAGCAGAUGGGGUCCUUGCUUUGGGGUCUCCUUGCCACUGGUUCCAGACUUGUCCUUUUCUAUCAUCACCUUGUUAGGUAUGUGGACCCUCCGGGUGCUUCUGGGCCCUGCACCUUCCUGCCAGGCGCCCGGGUCCCUCAUUCCUCAUCUUCCUCCCUCCUGACACCUGCUCUCUGCUUUCUCUCGAUUUGCGUCACAGUAAAUGAAUCACAAGGCUUGAGAGUCUCUUUUUUCUGGAAUAUCUGAAUUUUUACAGCAACAAAAUCCUGUCUCUCUCCAAUAAUUGCCUCUGCUGGCCCUUCAGACCCCAGUGCAGGGGCGUGGAGGCGAUGACAGGGUCAGCGGAGGGCAGCAGGCUGCGCCAAACCCUCUGCCUGGGUGUCGCCCUUUGUUCUCAGCCUGGGGGUCUGACGUAGACACACGGAGGACGGGAAAUUUGCUUGCCUUGUGAAGUUGCUGCGGAAGGUCUUAAGCUUAUAAGGAACACCUCGUUUAGGUGGAGAUGGUCACAGUGGGACUGUGCACCUGUAUCCUUGGACCACACGUGUUAUGGGGAUGCGGCGGCAUUUUGCAGAGUCAGGAGGCUGGCAGGUGAGGCUGAGAAGCAGUUCAGGGGCCAGUGGGAACGGACUCUGCUCCCGCUCUGACCGCUGCUGAGCCUGGCCUGAGCUCGGGUUGGAGGAGGUGUCAUUAUUUCCAGUCAGACCCACAGGUGGUCGGUGCGUUCUCGCUCACCUUUUCUUCCUUCAUCUACAGCAGGAACGGGGCUGUUGGUCUGGCAAAAGCCUUUCUCGUGCAGGCAGUGCGUGGGCAUGUGACCCGGGUCGGGACACCGGGGGCCCUGGAGGCAGGCUGCAUCUGCCUCAGCUUUUUGUGGCCAUCUUGCCUCCAAUAUAUUUGUGACCCAGGACAGCUUAACUGGGAGCUGGAUCCGCUCUUACGUGGCACUGUGUGUGUGGUCGCUCUGCCUGUGGCGCAUCUGAAGUGCUGACGUCUUCAGUCUUGGAAGAGAACUCUUUGGCCGUGGGUGAGAUACAUUUCAAAAAUGCCUGCAUAGUUAAAGGACAGCUGACGGUGGAGCCGAUACCGUGUUGAGUAACCCCUGAGGCUCUGCACACAGACACCCUGGCAGCAAGUGCUACCUUCUCUAUUUGACAGCUGAAAAAACUGACGAGAUUUAAAACUGCCUGGAAUCAUCAGACGUGGGACGGUUGUUUCACGCAGCCAAGUUGUUUCAGCUCCAGAGCCCAUCCCUGAAGCCUCCUUUGCCCCUUGAAUGAGAACAUGAUUGAACACAUGCGUUCUCUGUGGGCAUAGAAUAUUUUCUUCCAAUUAUAGUAGUUACAUGAACACGUGACAACUAAAAUUCAAAAUUCUUAGUCUAUAUUCUUUUAGCUCUCUAGGGUCAGUCCUCAUUCAGUUUGUCUGCCCACCUCUGGACACUUUCACAGGUCUGGAAAGUUAUCCAGUUAUCAAGAAGGCAGACUUUGUCGUGAGGAACUCUCUCCUCGCCUUUUCUGGUUUGCAUUUUUUUGUAAGCAGUUACACCCUUCAUCCAAAGCUCAUAAUGUUGAUAUAGUCUCUUUCAAGUGGUUCAUUUGGCUUGGGUACUACUUAAAUAUCUUUAUUGGAUUCAUUUCUUAAAUAAACAAAUUUGGAGAAAAAAAGAUUUACAUUCUCCAUUCAACAAA